This 429-nucleotide ribosomal RNA is filed under the name Chloroflexota bacterium. Its description in RNAcentral is "Chloroflexi bacterium partial 16S ribosomal RNA". It matches the Rfam family "Bacterial small subunit ribosomal RNA", at positions 355 to 776 of the family's 1533-position model. The record is from RNAcentral. Lineage: Bacteria; Bacillati; Chloroflexota.
UGGGGAAUCUUCGGCAAUGGACGAAAGUCUGACCGAGCAACGCCGCGUGAGUGAAGAAGGUUUUCGGAUCGUAAAACUCUGUUGUUAGAGAAGAACAAGGACGUUAGUAACUGAACGUCCCCUGACGGUAUCUAACCAGAAAGCCACGGCUAACUACGUGCCAGCAGCCGCGGUAAUACGUAGGUGGCAAGCGUUGUCCGGAUUUAUUGGGCGUAAAGCGAGCGCAGGCGGUCUGUCAAGUCGGACGUGAAAUCCCCGGGCUCAACCUGGGAACUGCAUUCGAAACUGGCAGGCUAGAGUCUUGUAGAGGGGGGUAGAAUUCCAGGUGUAGCGGUGAAAUGCGUAGAGAUCUGGAGGAAUACCGGUGGCGAAGGCGGCCCCCUGGACAAAGACUGACGCUCAGGUGCGAAAGCGUGGGGAGCAAACAGG